Molecule: transfer RNA, 85 nt
Filed under: Diphylleia rotans
Lineage: Eukaryota; Collodictyonidae
Description: tRNA-Tyr
Rfam family: tRNA
About the family: Transfer RNA (tRNA) molecules are approximately 80 nucleotides in length. Their secondary structure includes four short double-helical elements and three loops (D, anti-codon, and T loops). Further hydrogen bonds mediate the characteristic L-shaped molecular structure. tRNAs have two regions of fundamental functional importance: the anti-codon, which is responsible for specific mRNA codon recognition, and the 3' end, to which the tRNAs corresponding amino acid is attached (by aminoacyl-tRNA synthetases). tRNAs cope with the degeneracy of the genetic code in two manners: having more than one tRNA (with a specific anti-codon) for a particular amino acid; and 'wobble' base-pairing, i.e. permitting non-standard base-pairing at the 3rd anti-codon position.
Source: RNAcentral
GAAGGAGUGGCUGAGCGGUCAAAAGCAAUAGACUGUAAAUCUAUCGGGUCUUACCCCUACGGAGGUUCAAAUCCUUCCUCCUUCA